RNAcentral lists this ribosomal RNA (286 nucleotides) under Acinetobacter soli. RNAcentral describes it as "partial 16S ribosomal RNA". It matches the Rfam family "Bacterial small subunit ribosomal RNA", at positions 1086 to 1372 of the family's 1533-position model. The record is from RNAcentral. Lineage: Bacteria; Pseudomonadati; Pseudomonadota; Gammaproteobacteria; Moraxellales; Moraxellaceae.
CCCGCAACGAGCGCAACCCUUUUCCUUACUUGCCAGCAUUUCGGAUGGGAACUUUAAGGAUACUGCCAGUGACAAACUGGAGGAAGGCGGGGACGACGUCAAGUCAUCAUGGCCCUUACGGCCAGGGCUACACACGUGCUACAAUGGUCGGUACAAAGGGUUGCUACCUAGCGAUAGGAUGCUAAUCUCAAAAAGCCGAUCGUAGUCCGGAUUGGAGUCUGCAACUCGACUCCAUGAAGUCGGAAUCGCUAGUAAUCGCGGAUCAGAAUGCCGCGGUGAAUACGUU